GGAAGGAUCAUUAACAAAUCUUUGUGUUGUGAUGUGUGUGUACAUUUUGUGUGUACAUUACCGUUACAUUUGUGCUCUGGCGGUAUGCUGGAAUGCACUUUAUAUGUACUUUUGUGUUGUGUGUGAAUGAAAACUAAAUCAAUAUAUACUUUAACAAUGGAUCUCUUGGCUCUUGCAUCGAUGAAGAACGCAGUAAUGUGCGAAAAGUAAUGCGAAUUGCAUACCUCUGCGAGUCAUCUAGUCUUUGAACGCAAAUGGCACUGUCACGACGAGUGAUAGUAUGUCUGUUUGAGAACCAUAUAACCCAUCACCAUUGGUUAAUGGUGGAACUGUUCUAUUAUAUAGAAUGAAAUUUAUGUGUUGCUAGAGUGGCUUGAAGUGUGACAAGUAUAUCAUAUCAAAUCAUUCUUGAUGAUAAUCAUCAAAGCACACAAUCAACAUACCAAAUUAAACGGUCUCAAAUUGGACAAGGUUACCCGCUGAACUUAAGCAUAUCAGUAAGCGGAGGAAAAGAAACUAACAAGGAUUCCCAUAGUAACGGCGAGUGAAGUGGGAAUAGCUCAAAUUUAAAAUCUGGCCUUUGGCCCGAAUUGUAGUCUAAAGAGGUGCCAUCUUGUAUGUGGCGUGCGCACAAGUAUCCUGGAAUGGAUCAUCACAGAGGGUGAGAAUCCCGUUUGGGUGCACGUGACAUGCAUUUAUGAGACACUCUCAAAGAGUCGAGUUGUUUGGGAAUGCAGCUCAAAAUGGGUGGUAAACUUCAUCCAAGGCUAAAUAUUGGCAAGAGACCGAUAGCGAACAAGUACCGUGAGGGAAAGAUGAAAAGCACCUUGAAAAGGGAGUUAAAUAGUGCGUGAAAUUGUUAAAAGGGAAACGCUUGAAGCCAGCAUUGUGCGUGUAUGGAAGUAAGCUGCUAUGUUCUGGAGCUUUAAGCCCUCUUUCAUACCCUUCUCCGACACGUACGAGUCAGGGCCGCUUUGACAUGCCCUAGAAUACAUUGGGAAGGUAGCCACAUUUAGUGGCCUUAUAGCCCAAUGGGAUGUGGUGUGUUGGAGCUGGUAAUGUAGAUAGCCUUGUUUAUGUACCCAUGAUGUUGCAAACUGCAUGCAGAUUGUACUAUACAUGGGUCCAUAUUAAUUGGCCAAAAUACAUGUUCCUGACGAAAUGGCUUUAAACGACCCGUCUUGAAACACGGACCAAGGAGUCUAACAUGUAUGCAAGUGUUUGGGUGGUAAACCCGAGCGCGCAAUAAAAGUGAUAUGCAUGGGAGUAUAAAAUACGCACCAUGGGCCGAUCUUGAUAUCUCUUGAUAGAUUCGAGUCAGAGCAUAAAUGUUGGGACCCGAAAGAUGGUGAACUAUGCCUGGAUAGGAUGAAGCCAGAGGAAACUCUGGUGGAGGUCCGCCGCCGUUCUGACGUGCAAAUCGAUGGUCAAAUUUGGGCAUAGGGGCGAAAGACUAAUCGAACCAUCUAGUAGCUGGUUCCCUC
RNAcentral lists this unclassified non-coding RNA (1484 nucleotides) under uncultured fungus. RNAcentral's name for it is "sequence contains 18S rRNA gene, ITS1, 5.8S rRNA gene, ITS2, 28S rRNA gene". The stretch from base 453 to 1484 matches the Rfam family "Eukaryotic large subunit ribosomal RNA", at positions 1 to 961 of the family's 3401-position model. Lineage: Eukaryota; Fungi. The record is from RNAcentral.